UGACUGAAAAGUCCAGAAAUCUGAUUAUAUCCCACUCCGAGUGGCAUUAUUGGGAUUUAUAUCUUCAAAAAAAGAGAAUAUGUAUAGAAAAACUUAAUAUAUCAAGUAUUACUUUCGGUGGGGAAUAGCCUAACAGGUCGGUUUGUACAGGUACAAAGGUAACAGAAUAUCUAGACAUUACGCCAUGACGCGUCAGCGGGGGAAUACCCUGACUCAUUUGAGAGCCGCAAAUAAAUGUUUUUUUUUUUUAGUGAGCCUUGGAAAAAACCCUUCCCAAGAGGCAUUGCUUCUAAGUGUAUUGAUAAUUUAUCUCUCCCUAAUGCUUUCUCUUUCAACAAUAUUCAUGUAAAGCGUCAGGGAAAGCCCCCUUCCCAUAAGACAUUGUUUCGGAGUCUAUAAAUAAGCGAUGUCUCUCCAACCCUUUCUCUUUUUGCGGGCGCUGUUUGCUGUACGUAACGUGUCCAGGUGUACUUGAAAGCCAAUCAAUAUAUUAUUACCAACAUUGGAAUCCAGUGGUGAAAAAUCUCCGUCUUUGCGCAGAACUAACAUAUAGACUCUGAGUGAACCUGCUGAAGCUGAAGCUAUGUGGUCCGGCAUGAAAGGUAGUGGAUCGUCCUCCGGAGCGGGGUCCAGUGGAUCCGGCGGAGCUCGACCGCCCCAUGACAUCACCAGUCAGCAAGGCCUCCGCCAGCUGUACAACAGCAAGGUAGUCCGCGCCGAAGAGGUGCGACGUCCCCUUGGAGACGGCAAAACAAUGUGGGGGCCGGCCUACCACACCGGCGCUCGCGUCACUCUGGAAGACGGCAGUAAAUGGCUGGUCCACAAGGGACCCGGUUUCGACUAUGGCAACCAAACCGUGGUCACUGAUGCCAAACACAUGGGUGGGAGAUGGGUGCAGAAGGGAGGGGUGAAAGAGGUACAGGGAGGAGCCACCGUAUCUGACUUCGUCAAAGCUAGAGGGCAAAACUACACGCCUGUCUUCAAUGACUGCCAAAGUGCCCGCGAUCGCAUGAUGAAACUGCCUGGAAAAGGCAAGAAGUAGAACAUUUGCCCACCACCCCUCCCCCCAAAAAAUAAGAGUUCGAAGACCUCAAACCUCCGUGAAAUAUCUAGAGUUUCAGUGUAAAUGUCUUGCUUCAUCCUGUAUGAUUAAUAACGCAUGAAAGCAUAAUUUAUUUCAAGACGUCGUACCGUAAUUCAGUGUUGCAAAAUCAAAUCUCACAUUAAAGUAGACACGGACAUUUUCUAAAUAUACCAUAAUACUUUAUUCAAUCUCCUAGAAGUUAGCAUUUUGGCAGAAAAUUUCAAAUUAUUUUCAAGUGCACGAAUUUGGAUAAACAAACUAUGAGAAAGCGAAAACAAACGUCGAUUUUCUCCAGCUUAAUAAAUUUUUCCUGUAGAAUGUUGACAGCGACCACAUAAUUAAUACUUUAUCCGUUGCGUUAGCAUUGUACAUGUUGGAAAACACUUGCUUUUCUGGAUUUCAUAUAACGUUGAAUACAUGACAUACCCGUACGUAUGACAUCACGAUCACUCUGAAAUUACACAAUAGAACAAUAAAACUAUAUGAGAGAAACACAAA
Branchiostoma floridae (Florida lancelet) is the source of this 1582-nucleotide long non-coding RNA. RefSeq lists it as uncharacterized. The record is from RefSeq and is a predicted model, not a curated record. NCBI's taxonomy places the organism in Eukaryota, Metazoa, Chordata, Leptocardii, Amphioxiformes, Branchiostomatidae. The transcript has 3 exons.